This 11736-nucleotide long non-coding RNA is filed under the name Homo sapiens (human). Its description in RNAcentral is "HSALNT0371029". The stretch from base 7950 to 8066 matches the Rfam family "Metazoan signal recognition particle RNA". The record is from RNAcentral. Lineage: Eukaryota; Metazoa; Chordata; Mammalia; Primates; Hominidae.
AUUCAUUCUGCCCGCCUCUGUGGACUCCUUUACUAGGCGACCAGCCCUGAAACAGAAGUUGGACAUUUUUUAAAGGUUCUUGCGCUCGGCAAGGGGAGCAGAUAGAUGCUCAGGAGCGAAAGACGCAGAGAAUUGGAUCUGGCGCCUCCUAACGCAGCCCGCACAGGAGCGAAGGGUAAGCCCUUGUUGGUAGUUUAUAGAAGACAAGUCGGUGGAAAGGUGCAUGGUGCUCUGGGAUAGGUGGGGGGAACUCUAGUGCCCUUGAUGAAGCCCCUACAGGGCUUCUUAGCGGAGGUAUCGGCACCCUCCGUACAUACAUGGGUGUCAUUAGGUCCCUGUCCACUUACUAGUGUUUUUGACUACCCCAGCACUGGUCCUGGGUUGUCUUGUCCUCCCAUCAUGAGCAACAGUCAGGUCGACUUGGCUUGAGAAAAGCUAGCCCUAAACAUUCCUCCAGCCCCAGCUGUGGCGCCCUGCUAGGCCUGAUCUUGCGGGUAAAGAUGCUGAUAAAAUGACAUGGCAAGAGGGAGACGAUAAAGGGACAUUGUAGAUAGCAGGCUUUGAGCCUGACAUUUUAUUUCUGCCAUAACCCUGUGGGAUACUUGGAGCAGGUCAUUUUGCAGAUAGGGAAACUGAAGCUCAGAGAAAUUAUGAAUCUGAAUGAUUGCUGUGCUCCCAUAUGGUCCCCAGGCUAUCAGACAGACCUGUGGGGAGGACGUGGCUUCCCCACCAGGAGAUACGAUGUCACUAUCAGCAUCGUAUUGGCCGUCCUAAGAGACAGCUUCCCCCUCACUCACCUUAGAAGUUUCCUGUCCUAUCUGACUGUAGUCUUUCCCACCCAUCCUCAAAGGCUACUCUUUGAAGUUUGUUUUCAUUCAUGUUCACUAGCUGUAAAAAUCUUUUAAGCAGGGAUGAGGCUGGGAAACAUCAAAAUUUGUUUCCAAACUGAAAUCGCCCACGUUGGCUGCUGCGUGCAAUCAGUAGCCCUUCGUGUGAGUGCUGCCGGUUCUGCCUUCAGUCCGUCCAGAACCAUGGACCAUUUUAUUUGUUCCUGUCUUUCUCACAAGAACCCUUUAAGGGAAAUCGUCUUGUUCGUUCCCAUUUUGCAAAGGAGGAAAUUAGGACUAAGAAAAGCAAAGCCACUCACCCAGGAUCACAUAGCGCGUAUGUGCCGCUGCCAGGGCUCACACUGGAGCCUGGCUUGGCCAUCACGUGCUUUUUUUUUUUUUUUUUUUUUUUUUAGUAACUUACCAGCCUCACUACUGCCCCAUAAUGAAAUAAACAUGUUCAAAGGAGGCUGCAUGGGCUGGAGAGUGACGCAAAGUGAAUUAAGUGAAAUAAAGCAAAAAAUAUAUAAUAGAAUGCUUCAUCUAAUUAAUUCUUUUUUCUCCCUGAGGCCCUUCUUUCUCUCCAAGUGGCCUCAUAGUGGCCCCAAAAGCUGGCAUCAGAAAAAGGUCCAAUGGCAGCCACCUUAGUAUAAAAACAGUUAAGUCCAUCUAUCACCUCCACGAGGAGUUCCUGGCCUGUCAGAGUGGGAAGGGGCUGGGUAGUCACCUCAUUUAAUCCCCCCCCUUUACAAACCUCGAGGAAACCGCAAACACGAGAAAAGAAUGGGCCAGCCGGGGGUUUGUUCCCCUUGGCCUCCCCCAGAAUGCCUGCCCUGCUGCCGGGUCCUAAGUGGCCACUCAAUAAAUGUUGGGCCCUUGAUGAAUCACCUUCCCCCUCGAUAUUUGCAUUUUCUCUUUAUCAGUAAUUGGCAGAUGAAAGGCUUUGUCCUCCAGUUGAAAGAAUUCCAAGCAUUUGCUCAAAGUGGGGGAGGAGGUUAUUUUGGACCAAAGGGGGAAGGGCCAAGACCCUGGAGCUCCCAGUGUUGACUAAUUGUCCCAGAGAAGUGGAGAGUAGGUAAGGGAAGAGAGAAGGUGAAGGUGCUUACCCCAGAGAUGUACUUUUUCUUGCAGGAAAACACCGGGCCGGUUGUAUUGGAAACAUAAUAAUAAUUAUUUCCUGGACCCUCCUGCUCGAUCUUACAAAGGGCCCAGUCAAAUCCUGCCUGAGUUACCCCCAUUCAUUCUUCAUUCAUCAAAGGUUGAUUGAGCAACUCUGUGCCCAAAGACAGAGAGGCUAGAGAAAAGAAGAUGCAGCGUGGGGCAUGCAGAUUGGGGCAUACUCGAGGCUGGGUAGGACGAUGGACCUGCAGCUUCCCAAGGAAAGGGUGGACACUGGAUGUAGCUCUCAGAAACCAGAAUCUUGAUAAGAAAUUGAAGUUGUUCUCAUAUUCAUAUAUGAUUAUCAUAACUCCUGAUUUUUCUUUUCUUUUUUUUGAGAGAGGGUCUUGCUCUGUUGCCCAGGCUGGAGUGCAGUGACACAAUCUCAGCUCACUGCAACCUCCACCUCCUGGACUCAGCAAUGCUCCACCUUAGCCUUCCAAGUAGCUGAGACUACAGGAGUGCACCACCAUGCCCAGCUAAUUUUUGUAUUUUUGGUAGAGACAGGGUUUUGCCGUGUUGCCCAGGCUGGUCUCCAACUCCUAGGCUCAAGUGUUCCUCCCACCUCGGCCUCCCAAAGUGCUGAGAUUACAGCCGUAAGCCACCACACCUGGCCCUGUUUUGUUUUAAUUUAAGGAUAUCUAAUCAUUCCACAUCAGCAUAUGUGGAAUGCUAUAGCACAUCAGCUAUAGUUUCCUUAUUCUUUCUAAUGAUUUCAUAGCAUUUCAUUGGGCAGAUAAAUGGUGCAAGAAUGAUUUAAUUAGUUCCCUAACUUUUAGAUGGUUUUCAAUCUUUUUCUAUUGCAAACAGAGCUAUAAGGGAUUGCAGCUUUGUGCUUGAGUCUGUCAGUAGAAUAUAUAUCUGAAAGUGAUCAUCCACGUCUCAGGAUUCCUACCCUAUCACCAACUAUUUGUCCUUGAGAAGUUUAUUUGUAAGAUCUGAGCAGGUGGGACAACCUCAUAUCCAACUGGUAUCCCCAGGAGUCUACGCAGUGCCAUGCCCUUGGCAGGCACUCAGAGAGAGUGGUUUAAGGGCUAACACUGCAAGCAUUCACACUGUAAUCAGAUGGCCUCUUCUAGGAAACCUUUGCUGAUAUCCUUGGCCCCCUUUCCCCAUGGACCCUUCAUUCAUUCCACAAAUGUUUGUGGAAGGUUGAUUAGGGGGACCCUGUAUCAAAUCAGCCUCUUAGGUAUAUAUAGCCUGGUAGGUGAGUUAAAACAAAUUCUGGAAAGCACUCUAAGGCUGUGCUGUUUGAUGGGAUACAUUAGCUACAUACAGCUACUUAAAUUUAAUUAAAAUAAAAUGUAAAAUUCAGCUCCUUAACCCAGUACCUACAUUUGAAGGGGCUAGAAGUGACAGCACUGAAUGGUGCAGAUACAGAAUAUCCCUAUCAUUGGCUGGGCGCUGUGGGUCACACCUGUAAUCCCAGCAUUUUGGGAUGCUGAGGCAGGUGGAUCACCUGAGGUCAGGAGUUCAAGACCAGCCUGGCCAACAGGAUGAAACCCCCGUCUCUAUUAAAAAUACAAAAAUUGGACAAGCGUGGUGGUGCACACCUGUAAUCCCAGCAACUCGGGAGGCUGAGGCAGGAGAAUUGCUUGAACCCAGGAGGCAGAGUUUGCAAUGAGCUGAUUGCACCACUGCACUCAAGCCUGGGUGACAGAGGGGGAUUCUGUCUCAAAAAAAAAAAAAGAAUAUCUUGAAUAACUCUAUCAUCUUCUGUGGGACAGCCCUGAAGGGAGGCUUAGCAUAGUGGGCAACCCUGUGGGCUCUGGAUUCCUGUAAGCUCUGAGUUCGAAUCCUAUCAUUAUUUCCUAGCUAUAAAAUUUGGCCAAGCAAGUUAACCUGUCUUUGAGCCUCAGCCAUAAAGGUGGGGAAUUACAGCCCCUUAUGGAGAUUUGGCAAGGAUUCAAAGGUACUGCAAAUGUGAGGGGCUUUGCACAAAGUCAUAGUAAUAUUAUAAAAAAUCUGGAGUGAAGCCAGGCGCAGUGGCUCAUGCCUAUAAUCCCAGCAAUUUGGGAGGCCAAGGCGGACAGAUCACCUGUGCUCAGGAGUUCGAGACCAGCUUGGGCAACAUGAUAAAACCCUAUCUCUACUAAAAAUACAAAAAUUAGCUGGGUGUGGUGGCGUGCGCCUGUAGUCCCAGCUACUCAGGAGGCUGAGGCACAAGAACCGCUUGAACCCAGGAGGCAGAGGUUGCAGUGAGCCAAGAUCAUUCACUGCACUCCAGCCUGGGUGACAUCCCGAGACUCCGUCUCCAAACCAAAACGAAACUAAACAACAUGCAGAAUACUAAUAAUACUAAGUUGUGCGGACCAUGUAAGGAAACCAAAAGGGUUAUGUCUGUAUCUACAUGCUUUUUUUUUUUUUUUUUUUUUUGUGAGACAGAGUCUUGCUAUAACACCCAGGCUGGAGUACAAUGGCACAAUCUCGGCUCACUGAAACCUCCGCCUCCCGGGUUCAAGCAAUUCUCCUGCCUCAGCCUCCCAAGUAGCUGGGACUACAGGCGCAUACCACCAUGCCCGGCUGAUUUUUGUGUUUUUAGUAGAGACAGGGUUUCACCAUACUGGCCAGGCAGGUCUCAAACUUCUGACCUCAGGUGAUCCGCCCAUCUCGGCCUCCCAGACUGCUGGGACUACAGGCAUGAGCCACCGUGCCCGACCCAUACAUUCUUUAGUAUGUGCAGAAUUUCCUUUGGAAAGAUCAAAAAGUGAGAAAAAGAACUGGGAAAAGAGAAGAAAGCCUAUUUUUUGGUAAAGUGAUAUUUUUACCACAUAUGUACAUGAACGGUGCCUGAUUUUAAACCUUAUUGACUUAAUCUCAUUUUAGAUGCUGUAGUACCUCUUGAAUUUUGUACCGCACAGAUGUAUUACCUACUCAAAAAUAAUUCCAUUUUAUUCCUUUUUUAAGUCUAUAAGAUUCAAAAUCAGGCAAACCUAAACCAAAACUAAAUUUUUUUUUUUUUUUUGAGACAGGGUCUUGCUCUGUCACCCAGGCUCUGGUGUGCAGUGGUGUGAUCACAGCUCACUGUAGCCUCCACCUCCCGCGCUCAGGCAAUGCUCCCACCUCAGACUCCCGAGUAGCUGGGACUUGUAGGCAUGCAAGACCAGGCCCAGCUAAUUUUGGUACUUUUUGUAGGGACUCUGUUUUGCCAUGUUACUCAGGCUGUUCUCAAACUCCUGAGCUCAAGUGAUCCACCCCUCAGCCUCCCAAAGUGGGGGAUUACAGGCUAAAUAUUCUUUAGAUAUAGAUACAUAAGUCACAAAACAGGAAUAAAAGCAAGGAAUGAUUAACACAAAAUGCUGCAAAAGACCAUUCAGGAAAGGAAUGUGAACAGAGAUACUAGUGACUUUCUGUUUCUUAAUCCACCUGCUGGGCAUCUAAGACUGUUCCUUAAAGUAUAGUUAAAUAUUUUUCAGAUUCUAUUGUAUUUAUGAGAUAUUCCACAAUUUUUUCUUUUUCUUUUUUUUCUUUUUUUUUUUGAGACGGAGUCUCGCUCUGUCGCCCAGGCUGGAGUGCAGUGGCAUGAUCUCGGGUCACUGCAACCUCUGCCUCCCUGGUUCAAGCGAUUCUCCUGCCUCAGCCUCCUGAGUAGCUGGGACUACAGGCAAAUGCCGCCACACCCAGCUAAUUUUUGUAUUUUUUGUAGAGACGGGGUUUUGCCAUGUUGGCCAGGCUGGUCUCGAACUUCUGAGCUCAGGUGAUCUGCCCGCCUCAGCCUCCCAAAGUGCUGGGAUUACAGGCCUGAGGCACUGCGCCCAGCCUUAUUUUCUUGUAUUAUUGUAUCACAGAAAUAUACACACCAGCCAGGUGCUGUGGCUCAUGCCUGUAAUCCCACCACUUUGGAAGGCCAAGGUGGGCAGAUCAUUUGAGGUAAGGAGUUGGAGACCAGCCUGGUCAACAUGAUGAGACCCUGUCUCUACUAAAAAUACAAAAAUUAGCCAGGCAUGGCGACACGCGCCUGUAAUCCCACCUACUCAGGAGGCUGAGGCAGGAAAAUUGCUUAAACCCGGGAGGCAGAGAUUGCAGUGAGCCAAAAUCAUGCCACUGCACUCCAGCAUGGGUGACUAAGCAAGUCUCCAUCUCAAAAAAAAAAAAGAAAGAAAGAAAGAAAUAUACACACCAUCUCUCAUCUUGCCUUUCACUGACUAUAAUCUUGGACCCCUUUCCACGUGCUAUCUGUAGAACUGCCAUUCUAAAGUAUUAUUUAGGCUGGGCGCGGUGGCUCACGCCUGUAAUCCCAACACUGGGAGGCUGAGGCAGGCGGAUCACCUGAGGUCAAGAGUUGGAGACCAGCCUGGCCAACAUGGUGAAACCCCGUCUCUACUAAAAAUACCAAAAAUUUGUUGGGCGUGGCGGCAUGUGCCUGUAAUCCCAGCUACUCGGGAGGUUAAGACAGGAGAAUCGCUGGAACCCGGGAGUCAGAGGUUGCAGUGAUCCGAGAUCGCACCAUUGCACCCCAGGGGCCUAGACAACAAGAGCGAAACUUCGUCUCAAAAAAAAAAAAAAAGAAAAGAAAAAGAAAAAAAGUAUUAUUUAAGUGUUACAUAAAUCUGAGUGUUGUGAUAGAAAAUUCGAUUGGUUUUAAAAAGUCACAGAGUAAAGUGUAUAUUAUGACCCAUUUAUGUCAAAACAAGCUAUUUAUAGUAAUAUUUGUAUAUAUAUAUGUGUGCCCCCCCACCAAAAAAAAAAAAAGAUAAGAAAGGCUUGGAGACUGGGCACGGUGGCUCACUCCUGUAAUCCUAGCACUUUGGGAGGCUGAGGCAGAUGGAUCACCUGAGGUCAGGAGUUCGAGACCAGUCUGGCCAACAUGGCGAAACCCUGUCUCUACUAAAGAUACAAAAAUUAGCUGGGCGUGGUGGCGCUCGCCUGUAAUCCCAGCUACUUGAGAGGCUGAGGAAGGAGAAUCGCUUGAACCUGGGAGGUAGAAGUUGCAAUGAGCCGAGAUCAUGCCACUGCACUUCAGCCUGCCCAACGGGAGCAAGACUCCAUCUCAAAAAAAAAAAAAAGAAAGGCUUGGAAUUGCGCGGCAAACCACUACCUUUGAUUCCCUCACAGGAGGGGAGAAAAUUUUAACGGGGUUAUAUUUAUAUAUUAUUUGCGUCUUUAACAACAAUUUUGACCUUUUACAUUUGUCAAAUAUUUCAAACAUAAUGAAAGUUAUAAAAUAAAUAAAGAGGGCCUAGUGCAGUGGCUCACGCGUAUAAUCCUAACAUUUUGGGAGGCUCAGGCAGGCAGAUCACCUGAGGUCAGGGGUUCGAGACCAGCCUGGGCACCAUGGCAAAGCCCCGUCUCUACUAAAAAUACACAAAUUGGCCAGGUGUGGUUACAUCUGUAAUCUCAGCUACUCAGGAGGCUGAGGCAGGAGAAUCGCUUGACUCAGGAGGCAGAGGUUGCAGUGACCCGAGAUGGUGCCACUGCACUUCAGCCUGGGCAACAGAGUGAGACUCCCUCUCAAAAAAAAUUAAUAAAAUAAAUAAAGACUCGUGUAUCCAGCAUCCAGUGUUGGCAAAUGUUAGAGAUUUGCCAUAUUUGUAUGAGUUUUGCAAUUUAAAACAAAUAUUCUUUUUUUUUUUUUUUUUAUGACGGAGACUCACUGUCGCCCAGGUUGGACUACAGUGACAUGAUCCCGGCUCACUGCAACCUCCACCUCCCGGGUUCAAGCGAUUCUCUUGCCUCAGCCUCCUCCUGCCUCAGCCUCCGGAGUAGCUGGGAUUACAGGCGUGUGCCACCAUGCCCAGCUAAUUUUGUAUUUUUAGUAGAGACAGGGUUUCACCACAUUAGCCAGGCUGAUCUCGAACUCCUGACCUCAGGUAAUCCGCCUGCCUCUGUCUCCCAAAGUGCUGGGAUUACAGGCGUGAGCCAAUGCGCCAGGCUCCUGAAACAAAUAUUCUUACUUGGGAAAUAGUCUUAAUCUGGGAGGAUAACAGACCAUACUAUUUCUGUUAAAGUGAUUGGGGUCUCCAGGCCGGGCGCGGUGGCUCACGCCUAUAAUCCUAGCACUUUGGGAGGCCGAGGCGGGUGGAUCACCUGAGGUCAGGAGUUCAAGACCAGCCUGGCCAACAUGGUGAAACCCUGUCUCUACUAAAAAAAAAAUACAAAAAAAUUAGCUCGGCAUGGUGGCGGGCACCUGUAAUCCCAGCUACUUCAGGAGGCUGAGACAGGAGAACCCCGUGAACCUGGGAGGCGGAGGUUGCAGUGAGCCGAGAUUCUACCACUGUACUCCAGCCUGGGCGACAAGAGUGAAAUUUUAUCUCAAAAAAAAAAAAAAAAAGAAAAAAAAAAAAAGAACGUGAUUGGGGUCUCCAAAGACCUUUUCUUUUUAUUCCUCAGUCUUUUGUAGAUUGAGUAAAAAGACUAAGGAAGACCAAAAUGCAUGCAUAUAGACUGUCAAGCCUUGGCCAUUUGGGGAAGACUUCAGUUUCUCUCUAGAAUUCUUCAUUUUAUUUAUUUAUUUAGAGACGGAGUCUUGCUCUGUCGCCCAGGCUGGAGUGCAAUGCCACGAUCUCGGCUCACUGCAACCUCCACCUGCCGGGUACAAGCUAUUCUCCUGUCUCAGCCUCCUGAGUAGCUGGGAUUACAGGUGCCCACCACCAUGCCUGGCUCAUUUUUGUGUUUUUAGUAGAGGCAGGGUUUCACCAUGUUGGCCAGGCUGCUCUCGAACUCCAGACCUCAGGUGGAUGCACCCGCCUCGGCCUCCCAAAGUGCUGGGACUACAGGCGUGUGCCACCGCGCCCAGCGAAUUCUUCAUUUUAUAAUCUGUCUCUUCCACUGUGAGGGUUGAAAGGAACACUGAAUAUAACAGGUGAGUUAAUUAAGGGGUUAAUGCCAGGAAGAGUCACGAAAGUUCAAAGAUUCUUUAAAAAACUUGUCUUUUUAGGGCGGGCGCGGUGGCUCACGCCUGUAAUCCCAUCACUUUGGGAGGCCGAGGCGUGUGGAUCACCUGAGGUCAGAAGUUUGAGACCAGCCUGGCCAACAUGGUGAAACCCCCCCUCUACUAAAAAUACAAAAAUUAACCGGGCGUGGUGGCGCGUGCCUGUAAUCACAGCUACUAGCGGGGCUGAGGCAGGAAGAUCGCUUGUACCCGAGAGGCGGAGGUUGUGGUGAGCCGAGAUCGCGCCACUGCACUCCAGCCUGGGCAACAGAGCGAGACUCUGUCUCAAAAAAACAAAAAAGAAAAAAAAGAAAAAAAAAAAAAAAAAUUGCCUCUUUGGAUUGAUGGACAAGUACUUUAACCAAUGGAAAUAAAAAUCUAAGCAUUACUUCAUCAUACUCAAUUGUGAUUGGUUGACGAUCCCCGAGGGAGGGCUCAGAGGGCUGGCAAUUAACCCUUUCAGGGAAAAUCAGGCCUUUUGCAUUUAUUUUAUUUUAAAGUUGAAGUAGUAACAGAUGAAAAGCCUACAAAAGUCCCCGGACUUUCAAAUACCACAUUUCAGUCUUAGCCCAGAAAGCAGGAUUUCGCCCCACAAAGGAAUAGUCAAGGACAAAUUUCCUGGAGAAAAGUUUUGAACUUUUAGAACGGGGAAUCCGCUGACCUCGCUGAGUAAGUGAGAAGGUUGAUUCACUUUUUGUGCUGUUGGAACAGGGACCAGUGUUGGAGAUGAUUCCAUUAAUCUUGCGAAGUGAUCAGUCACUGGGAGGAUUGAAUUGCAUUUCCUGCCUAAAGAUAGAGACAGAUGACCUUUGCUGCAGCCCUCAGACCCCCAGUUCACAGCUGGGGAGAGGAUGUGUCAGCGUUUACUUUCAGGUCUCACCCUGCCCUUUGUUCAAAAUUCAGACUCUUUUGUGUUUAGGCUGCUGCUGGGGUUUUUGUAGUUGUUGAUGCUGCUUUUUUUUUUUUUUUUUUUUUUUUUUUUAUAUAACCGCCCACAUCCUGCAACUUCUGAGAAACAAACUCUCUAUUUGGUAGAAGAUAAAAUCUGGAGGUGCCUCGGAGAGGGAACCAGAAUAGACAGGGAAUUCCGACAGGCCAUUGGGCCUUUAGGCUUUAAUUACUGCCCUCACCCCUUCCUGGACUCCCUAAAUGCUGCAGGCUGAACUGGAUGGAGCCAAAAGUCCAGCAAAAUGAAUAACAAUGCUUCGUGUUUAUAUGGCUCUACUACAAGAAAGCUUUUACACACAUUACCUCAUGGAAGAGGCACUGCUAAAGCAGAAGUAUUUACAUAAAUGAACAUUCGCAGUUCCUAAAUGUAGUCAGCUGCAUGACCUAGGACAAAGUGUCCAAACUUAAGUCUCAGUUUUCUCAUCUGUAAAAUGGGGUCACAUGAAAGUUACCAGAGGAGGCCGGGCGCAGUGGCUCACGCCUGUAAUCCCAGCACUUUGGGAGGCUGAGGUGGGCGGAUCACAAGGUCAGGAGAUGGAGACCAUCCUGGCGAACACGGUGAAACCCCAUCUCUACAAAAAAUUAGCAGGGCGUGGUGGCUGGCACCUGUAGUCCCAGCUACUCAGGAGGCUGAGGCAGGAGAAUGGCGUGAACCCAGGAGGCGGAGCUUGCAGUGAGCCGAGAUCUCGCCACUGCACUCCAGCCUGGGUGACAGAGCGAGACUCCAUCUCAAAAAAAAAAAAGUUACCAGAGGGUCAAGGCGCGAUGGCUCACACCUGUAAUCCCAGCACUUUGGGAGGCCGAGGCAGGCAGAUCCCCUGAAGUCAGGAGUUUGAGACCAACUUGGCCAACAUGGGGAAGCCCCAUCUCUACUAAAAACAUAAAACUUAGCUGGGCAUGGUGGCUCAUGCCUGCAAUCUCAGCUACUUGGGAGGCUGAGGCAAGAGAAAUGCUUGAACCUGGGAGGCGGAGGUUGCAGAGCCUAGAUCGUGCUACUGCACUCCAGCCUGGGUGACAGCAAGACUACGUCUCAAAAAAAGAAAGAAAGAAAGAAAGAAAGAAAAAGAAAAAUAGGCCGGGCGAGGUGUCUCAUGUCUGUAAUUCCAGCACUUUGGGAGGCCAAGGCAGGCAGAUCACCUGAGGUCGGGAGUUCGAGACAAGCCUGACUAACAUGGAGAAACCCCGUCUCUACUGAAAAUACAAAAUUAGCCAGGCAUGGUGGCGCAUGCCUGCAAUCCCAGCUACUUGGGAGGCUGAGGCAGGAGAAUCGCUUGAACCCGAGAGGUGAAGGUUGCGGUGAGCCAAAAUCACACCAUUACACUCCAGCCUGAGCAACAAGAGCAAAACUCCAUCUCAAAAAAUAAUAAUAAUAAAAUAGUUACCCGACAAUUGAAUGAGCCAAUGUUCUAUAACAGGACUCAAUAAAUGGUGUGUCUUAAUUAAAAUGAGGUUGACCUCCUGGGCUCCAGAACGAUGACAGCUAGCUGUGGAUUGGGCAAAUUUAGCUUUUCCCCAAGGGGAACGCCUUGGGGAAGCCUGCCUGGAAUGUAUGGAUUGAGUCCCCUUGCUUGUACAUCCUGUCCCUCACCAGACUCCAAAGUCUGACCGUGCUGAACUAUUUUGAGUUCUUUGACUAAACCUGCUCUUUCCUCCUCUAGACCUUUGCAUAUGCCAGUCUAUUCCCGCAGCCCUUCUUCCCUCCUGUUUCUCCUGGAAUCUGCUUUGCUCUCUCUCUUUCCUGCCCCCUCCCAGUAAUUACCACAUCAUCUUACUGUUGCCUGUGCCUUCACCAGACUGUAAGCCCUGGAGGGCAGUACCUGGUCUGUCUCAUUCAUGGAUAUAGCUCUAGCAAAGUGCCUGCAUGUUCUCUAAAAAUACUUGUGGUUUUUUUUUUAUUAUUUUAUUUUUUUGAGACGGAGUCUCACUCUGUCG